AAAAAAUCCAAUUCCAUCAAUUACAUUUGAAAGUUUAAAUGUGAAAAUUUGACUAUUGUUUUUCCUUACAUUCUACUGAUAUUAAAAAGGGAUAGAAACCAUAAAAAUUCCUCAAUUUAUUCUUUGUAGUUUUUUUAUUUUAAUUUUUAAUUCCAUUGAUGAUGGGAGAUUUUCAGAACUACUAUUUAUUUGGAAAUUCAAGAGAGGGAGUCCAUUACAUUAGGCAUUUCAUUGUUUUCUUUAUCAUAUGAAUAAUCGUUCCACUUCUAUAUAUAAUCAUUGCUAAAUCUUUUAAUUGUGGGAUCUCCCGCCCAAAAUGACUCUUUGUUCUACCAAUUCUUUAGACCUUUAAGCACAUGCAUGUAAAAAUUGUCCCUUAGUAGUUUACUGGAUUAUAUACUACUAUUUCCUCCCCUCCCCUUUUUCUGUUAAUUUCACUUUCUUCCAGAGUAUAUUGACCUAUCUCAAAAUUUGAUGGACCAUUGGCAGCAAUAAAGGCUGUGGAAGUAGGU
RNAcentral lists this unclassified non-coding RNA (512 nucleotides) under Hevea brasiliensis (rubber tree). Lineage: Eukaryota; Viridiplantae; Streptophyta; Magnoliopsida; Malpighiales; Euphorbiaceae. The record is from RNAcentral.